Molecule: ribosomal RNA, 465 nt
Filed under: uncultured Klebsiella sp.
Lineage: Bacteria; Pseudomonadati; Pseudomonadota; Gammaproteobacteria; Enterobacterales; Enterobacteriaceae
Description: bacterial SSU rRNA
Rfam family: Bacterial small subunit ribosomal RNA
Source: RNAcentral
CCUACGGGCGGCAGCAGUGGGGAAUAUUGCACAAUGGGCGCAAGCCUGAUGCAGCCAUGCCGCGUGUGUGAAGAAGGCCUUCGGGUUGUAAAGCACUUUCAGCGGGGAGGAAGGCGUUAAGGUUAAUAACCUUGUCGAUUGACGUUACCCGCAGAAGAAGCACCGGCUAACUCCGUGCCAGCAGCCGCGGUAAUACGGAGGGUGCAAGCGUUAAUCGGAAUUACUGGGCGUAAAGCGCACGCAGGCGGUCUGUCAAGUCGGAUGUGAAAUCCCCGGGCUCAACCUGGGAACUGCAUUCGAAACUGGCAGGCUAGAGUCUUGCAGAGGGGGGUAGAAUUCCAGGUGUAGCGGUGAAAUGCGUAGAGAUCUGGAGGAAUACCGGUGGCGAAGGCGGCCCCCUGGACAAAGACUGACGCUCAGGUGCGAAAGCGUGGGGAGCAAACAGGAUUAGAUACCCCAGUAGUC